Long non-coding RNA from Mobula hypostoma (lesser devil ray), 1947 nucleotides. RefSeq lists it as uncharacterized. The record is from RefSeq and is a predicted model, not a curated record. The transcript is spliced from 3 exons. Lineage: Eukaryota; Metazoa; Chordata; Chondrichthyes; Myliobatiformes; Myliobatidae.
GCUGGUCAACGUUGCACCAGUUACCUGAUCCAAACCUGGAACACACUUGCCCACUGGUGUUUUGUGUCCCACAGGCUCCAGACUGACGUGGAAGACGCCUGGGCGCCAUGGCCGCAUAGCGGUUCCCGCGACGCUGUUACAGCUCGGGGCGUUCUGGAGUUCGGACUUCAAUUCCGGUGUCUUUCUUUAGCAAGAAGCACAUGAAGGCUAUCAGCCCGAGAACACUGAAUUGGUCAUACAUGACAGAUGCCGAUUGAUUUGCUGUGUAUAUCUGGUUUGGAAACACCCAUAUUUAAGGUAUUUAAAUACAUUAUUCUGUGAAGGGGUUCGGAGGCUUCACCGGACUGCCAAAAGGGUCCAUGGCAUAUAAAAAAAAGUUUACAAACCCUUUCUAUAAUGUGAAUAUUGAAUGGCAGGGCAGGCUUGAGCGUAACUGACUGGCUUACUCCAAUUCCUAUUUCCUUGUGUGUUCUGAAUCCACUGGUGAACCAGACGGAUGUACCUGGUUUAGUGGUGCCUCAACAACCACCCAUCUAUUCCUGGGCAGUAACACAUUGGAUAACCUUCCUGUGCCCAGCAAUCAUAAAAAAGUAAAGAUGUUGAGUGCUUUCUUCAGGAGGUUUGGCUUCUCAACAAACACCAAUAAACUUGUACAGAAGUACUGUUGAAGUAUCCCAAUUAGUUGAAUCAUAGUCUGGUACAGCAAUUCAAUUCAAAUACUGGUACACAUGGUCCUGUUUAGAUCAACGAUGUAGAGGUUGAGCGUUGAGAGCUUCAAGUUUCUAGGAGUGAACAUCGUACACAGUUCUGGUCCAAACACAUGGUUAAGAAUGCUCACCAGUACCUCUACUUCCUCAGAUUUAGCAUGGCCUUGUCAAGCCUUACCAAUUUUUAAACAAUGCACCUCAGAAAGAAUCCUAUCUGGUUGCAUCACAGCGUGACAUGACUACUGCUCUGCUCUGAUUGUGUAUAGAGUCCAGGAAACUGACACCAGCCAUCCAUCUGUGGUCACCGUCUAUACUGCUCACUGUUCCCUUAAGGCAACAAGCAUUAUCAAAGGCCUCACCCACCCUGGGCAUACUCUCCUCUUCUCUCUUCCGCCGGUCAGAAGAUUAAAAUAGGCUUGAAAGCAUAUAGCAACUGGCUUAAGGACAGUUUGUACCCCAUUGUUAUAAGACUAUUAAAGGAGGACUCUUGACCUCUCAGUCAAUCUCAUUAUAAUCUUGCAUGUCUGCACUUUCUCUGUAGACGUCACACUUUAUUCUGCGUUGUUAUCGUACUACCUCAAUGCAUUAUGUAACAAAUUGAUCUGUACUGACUGUACACAAGAUAUCUCCUCAGUAUGUGACAAUAAACUAACAAUAGAUAGCAAUAGCAAAGCCCCCUAUUCAUUACAGUUUUGCAACACUAUGACAACCCUGCACAAAAAUUGACUUUUUAAAAUUCUAACCGCGUUCUUUCUCGUAACAAAAUUGUGUUCGUGUUUUUCUUGUGGUUACUGCUUACAUGAUGUCAAGUCCCUAUACAACAGCUGCAGGCAAGUUGAUUAGAUCUGUGCAUAAAUGGACCCACACACAACAAUAAACUUGACUCAGUCACUUCUUGGUCACAUUUAUGAAUAUUGGCAAACUUAUCUCAUAUCUGUUUAACCACUAAGGACAUUUAAUUUCCUCAGUUGCUUUACUGUGAUCUAAACUAGUGUCCGAGUACAGGUCAGUGAUUGUGAUCGCUGAGUGCAAACGUUCAUGUAAUUAGUGAACAAAAGUGCAAACACACCUAAGCCAUCACCUGGGGAUCUGGUUAUGAUUGUGAACUCACAUUCCCUGUUUUCAGGCCAGCUUUCAGGGGUAAGUAGAACCCCCAACACUGGAACGCUGCACAGAGGAACCCAGCCAGAACGGUUGUGGGUGAGGGGGUAUAUCCCCUCGGGAGGUACGACCGCGAGGC